RNAcentral lists this non-coding RNA (45 nucleotides) under Echinostoma caproni. Lineage: Eukaryota; Metazoa; Platyhelminthes; Trematoda; Plagiorchiida; Echinostomatidae. The record is from RNAcentral.
GCACUACUGACGAGUCCUAAACAAGACGAAACAACUGUCUUGUGC